Molecule: transfer RNA, 72 nt
Filed under: Camelus ferus (Wild Bactrian camel)
Lineage: Eukaryota; Metazoa; Chordata; Mammalia; Artiodactyla; Camelidae
Rfam family: tRNA
About the family: Transfer RNA (tRNA) molecules are approximately 80 nucleotides in length.
Source: Rfam by way of RNAcentral
GAGGGUAUAGCUCAGUGGUAGACUGCAUGCUUAGCAUGCAUGAAGUCCUGGGUUCAAUCCCCAGUACCCUCU